AUUCUAAUUUCUGUUUUUGCUCAGAAAAGAAAAAAAGUUACGAUAUACUGAUAAUAGUUGUGGUAGCCCUGGUAGUGCUGGUUGUGCUGCUGGUUUGCACGUGCAUAUGUUGUAAGAAAUCAUCAAACACAACUGGACAAGGUGACCAGAGCGAAAAAAAUCGAACAAACCAAAUGAAAAUGUGGUUAAGUGAAA
Long non-coding RNA from Bufo bufo (common toad), 195 nucleotides. RefSeq lists it as uncharacterized. The transcript is spliced from 2 exons. Lineage: Eukaryota; Metazoa; Chordata; Amphibia; Anura; Bufonidae. The record is from RefSeq and is a predicted model, not a curated record.